ACAUGCCUACAACAUAGCAUUAAUGCAUCGGAUCCCAUUAAAACUCCCCAAUUAAGCGUGUUCAGGCUAGAGUGGUACUAGGAUGAAUAACCACUCGGGAAGUCUUAGUGUUUUACAUGCC
This is a non-coding RNA of Picea glauca (white spruce), 121 nucleotides long. NCBI's taxonomy places the organism in Eukaryota, Viridiplantae, Streptophyta, Pinopsida, Pinales, Pinaceae. The record is from Rfam.